Molecule: long non-coding RNA, 1453 nt
Organism: Poecilia latipinna (sailfin molly)
Lineage: Eukaryota; Metazoa; Chordata; Actinopteri; Cyprinodontiformes; Poeciliidae
Exons: 2
Source: RefSeq, a predicted model, not a curated record
ACAUUCAAUUUCUACACACAGAUUUUUAACUGCAACCUCACAAAUCUGAUAAUUACAAAUUCAAACCUUGUGUGCAUCUUCUACGGCUACAAUUAGGCGUAGGAGAUACACACAGACAAAACUGUAUUCAUGCACAGAUCCGGUUAGAAGUGCACAAGGACUUUUGAGGCUCAUUUCACGCUUCCAGCAGCCUCAGAUUUGUGUGCAAGUGGUGCAUUUCAAUGCUGGUGGAAAGCUGGGUCAUCCGAUUCUUGUUCAAAGUCCAGUGUUUUUAAUUUUCUGAACGUUGCUGUACUUGUGCCGAAGUGGCAAGGAUGUUAUUUCACUGAAAACAGAAUACCUCAACACUUUUCAAUACUCCAAAAUUAUUUAUUAACAUAUUGUGCAUUUUUCAGCCGUACAGUUGAGAUUACAUGGUUUAAAAGAACGACCACAAGGUGGUGGAAUGGUUCGUUGGCUGGAAAAACAGGCCAUCAUACAACAUGGAGCGUCCCGGUGGUCUGCCCUCACAAGUCAGUACAAGUUAAACCUCCACGCUUUGCUCUCCAAUUAUAAUGGAACAUCUAGUAAUUUGAAAUAAUUUCUAGUAGUUUGAUACUCUGUCCUUUUUCUGUCAGCAGGAGCCAGUGUCCAUGUGAGUGAUGCUACUUUAGCUGUUGGUAGCCAAGUCCUUGUAUUUUUAAUGUCACACUUUAAGAAAGUAUAUUCAGUCCAUGAAAAUGAUCUCUACGGUGGUUCUUACAGUAUCUGUUCUGCCUAACAGGUUCCAAUCAAAUUCUAAAGUCACGUUGCCGAUUGAUAAUAUUUUUGUAGUGUGUAAAAUAUUCUGAUAUGCCUUUUACUUUAUUCACUAAGUGAAUAUAAUUUAGUCAAAUAAACUGCCUUUCAAUUGUAAUUUAUUGAAUUUCUAUAUGUAUAAAUGACCUUAUAUUUACACACAGGACAGAGCAGCUGACUGAUGGAUUGGGGUCACAUGUUAUUUUACUUACUGGAGGAUCAGGACCUUUCAGAUCUCAUCAACCCUCUGAUCUGAUGGAGCGGCUGCUGGAACACACUGACCCUCUACAACAGGGGUCCUCAAAUCCAGACAUCGAUUUCGGUGUCCUGCAUCAUUUACAUAUGUUCCUAGUCCAAGCCACCUGAAUCAAAUGGCUGCUUGAGGUCCUGAGAAUGACCUCAGGAUUUGAGUCGGAUGUGUUAAAGCAGACCUGCUUCCAGAUUGUGUGUCAUCACUGUUACAGCAGUCCUGACACCCGGGACCUGUAACACAGAGACAUCUAAACAUUGGAGAACACCGAACCCUCCUGAACUGGAGGUUCAGCUGUUGGAUUCAAGUGUGUUGGAUCAGGGAAACGACUAAGAGUUGCAGGACACCUGACCUCCAGGACCAUUGCUGCCCAUCCCUGCCCUAGAAGCUAAUGAAGAGAAAUACUAAAUUUAAACAAAAAAAUAG